Molecule: ribosomal RNA, 253 nt
Filed under: uncultured bacterium
Lineage: Bacteria
Description: partial 16S ribosomal RNA
Rfam family: Bacterial small subunit ribosomal RNA
Source: RNAcentral
UACGUAGGGUGCGAGCGUUGUCCGGAAUUACUGGGCGUAAAGAGCUCGUAGGUGGUUUGUCGCGUUGUUCGUGAAAACUCACAGCUUAACUGUGGGCGUGCGGGCGAUACGGGCAGACUGGAGUACUGCAGGGGAGACUGGGAUUCCUGGUGUAGCGGUGGAAUGCGCAGAUAUCAGGAGGAACACCGGUGGCGAAGGCGGUUCUCUGGGCAUGUCCUGACGCUGAGGAGCGAAAGUGUGGGGAGCGAACAGG